Long non-coding RNA from Syngnathoides biaculeatus (alligator pipefish), 449 nucleotides. RefSeq lists it as uncharacterized. Lineage: Eukaryota; Metazoa; Chordata; Actinopteri; Syngnathiformes; Syngnathidae. The transcript has 3 exons. The record is from RefSeq and is a predicted model, not a curated record.
UUGUGAGUUAGCUGUGUGCUUAGCUUCCACAACAUGACCGAUUUACGAAUCCAGGGUGCCGUUGGCAAGCUAACAAUGGCAACACCCUGAAAAUGCAUCGUCCCUGGAUGAUGCCUCAAUUGACAGAGCAGCUUGGUGAUGAUAGUUUAAGAUCCCAAAAAAUGAAAAAGCAACAGAUUGACUUUUUAAAAACACCCAAUUGGCAAGCUGAACGUCAACACCGACAGCCGACUCUGCGUCCAACUACCUGGGUUUCCUCCUAUCGUCAGUUGCCGUGUUUGGCUGUGACAUUAAGUCACCAACAACGACGAGAAAGGUCGACGACGGCCUGACCCAGCAGCUUGUCCGGACCCACCAGGGCUCGGUGCAGGACGUGAACGCGCAGCGUGCCUCGCUCCCCUCCCGCGCCGGGCUGCGGCAGCUCGAAGGCGGCUUCCUCCUUCCAAACA